AUUAAUUAAUAAAGUUAUAAUUUAAAUAUUAAAAUAAUUUUAAUAAUAAAUAAAGUUGAUUAAUAAAAUAUAAAAAAUUGAUUAAUGAAAUUAUAAAAUUGUUAAUCACAUAAUUUUAUAUUAAUAUUAUUUAAUCUAAAAAUAAAAAGUAAACUAAAAAGUAAAAAAAUAAUUAUUAUAUAUAUUUUUCUAAAAUAUUAUUAUAAAAUAGUAACAAUAUAGGAGUAGGGAUGAGGUGUAAGUACGUCAUUUUUUUAUAAGUUAUGGUUAAUAUAUGGUACACGACUAAUACAGAUUCUAUAGCUGAUCCUCUUAUGUACAACUAACAUCGCCGACAGAAUAUACUAAAGAUAUCUAAUGAUACUAACUAACUUUUUAACCAUAUACAUGAUCCUCUUAUCAUGUUUCAUUCCACUUUUAUUUUGUUUUAAAUAAAACACAAGUUUCAUUC
Molecule: long non-coding RNA, 451 nt
Filed under: Lathyrus oleraceus (garden pea)
Lineage: Eukaryota; Viridiplantae; Streptophyta; Magnoliopsida; Fabales; Fabaceae
Description: Pisum sativum (pea) long non-coding RNA (PSAT_LNC026460)
Source: RNAcentral